GGCCGGAUGGCGGAGCGGUUACGCGGCGGAGUGCAAAUCCGUCCAGCCUGGUUCGAUUCCAGGUCCGGCCUCCA
RNAcentral lists this transfer RNA (74 nucleotides) under Brevundimonas naejangsanensis. RNAcentral's name for it is "tRNA-Cys". It matches the Rfam family "tRNA". Rfam says of the family: Transfer RNA (tRNA) molecules are approximately 80 nucleotides in length. Their secondary structure includes four short double-helical elements and three loops (D, anti-codon, and T loops). RNAcentral also lists the same sequence under 2 other names. Lineage: Bacteria; Pseudomonadati; Pseudomonadota; Alphaproteobacteria; Caulobacterales; Caulobacteraceae. The record is from RNAcentral.